CCUACGGGAGGCCGCAGUGAGGAAUAUUGGUCAAUGGGCGGAAGCCUGAACCAGCCAAGUAGCGUGCGGGAUGAAGGCCCUACGGGUCGUAAACCGCUUUUGCACGGGGAUAACACCCUCCACUUGUGGAGGUCUGCAGGUACCGUGCGAAUAAGGGCCGGCUAAUUCCGUGCCAGCAGCCGCGGUAAUACGGAAGGGCCGAGCGUUAUCCGGAUUCAUUGGGCUUAAAGGGAGCGUAGGCGGGCGUUCAAGUCAGCUGUAAAAUCGCGCGGCUCAACCGCGCCCCGCAGUUGAAACUGGACGGCUUGAGUGCACAACAGGCAGGCGGAAUUCGUGGUGGAGCGGUGAAAUGCAUAGAUAUCACGAGGAACCCCGAUUGCGAAGGCAGCCUGCCGGGGUGCGACUGACGCUGAGGCUCGAAGGUGCGGGUAUCAAACAGGAUUAGAUACCCGAGUAGGC
This 459-nucleotide ribosomal RNA is filed under the name uncultured bacterium. RNAcentral describes it as "partial 16S ribosomal RNA". It matches the Rfam family "Bacterial small subunit ribosomal RNA", at positions 338 to 795 of the family's 1533-position model. The record is from RNAcentral.